This 450-nucleotide ribosomal RNA is filed under the name uncultured bacterium. Its description in RNAcentral is "bacterial SSU rRNA". It matches the Rfam family "Bacterial small subunit ribosomal RNA", at positions 29 to 508 of the family's 1533-position model. The record is from RNAcentral.
AACGAACGCUGGCGGUAUGCUUAACACAUGCAAGUCGAACGAACGAGACCCUAGCUUGCUAGGGUCAAGUUAGUGGCAAACGGGUGAGUAACACGUGGGAAUCUACCCAGUAGUACGGAAUAACAGUUGGAAACGACUGCUAAUACCGUAUAGUAUCGAGAGAUUAAAGAUUUAUCGCUACUGGAUGAGCCCGCGUCAGAUUAGGUAGUUGGUGGGGUAAUGGCCUACCAAGCCGAAGAUCUGUAGCUGGUCUGAGAGGAUGAUCAGCCACACUGGAACUGAGACACGGUCCAGACUCCUACGGGAGGCAGCAGUGAGGAAUAUUGGACAAUGGGCGAAAGCCUGAUCCAGCAAUACCGCGUGAGUGAAGAAGGCCUUAGGGUUGUAAAGCUCUUUCAGCAGGGAAAAUAAUGAUGGUACCUGCAAAAGAAGUUCCGGCUAACUCCGUGC